GGCCUCGUAGCUCAGUUGGCUAGAGCAUUGGUUGUACUAAAGCCUUCCCCUUGCUGGCGUGGGUUUGGAUCCCACCGAGGCCA
This 83-nucleotide transfer RNA is filed under the name Schistocephalus solidus. It matches the Rfam family "tRNA". From Rfam's summary of the family: Transfer RNA (tRNA) molecules are approximately 80 nucleotides in length. Their secondary structure includes four short double-helical elements and three loops (D, anti-codon, and T loops). Further hydrogen bonds mediate the characteristic L-shaped molecular structure. tRNAs have two regions of fundamental functional importance: the anti-codon, which is responsible for specific mRNA codon recognition, and the 3' end, to which the tRNAs corresponding amino acid is attached (by aminoacyl-tRNA synthetases). tRNAs cope with the degeneracy of the genetic code in two manners: having more than one tRNA (with a specific anti-codon) for a particular amino acid; and 'wobble' base-pairing, i.e. permitting non-standard base-pairing at the 3rd anti-codon position. Lineage: Eukaryota; Metazoa; Platyhelminthes; Cestoda; Diphyllobothriidea; Diphyllobothriidae. The record is from Rfam by way of RNAcentral.